GGGGCUGUAGCUCAAUUGGUAGAGCGCGACAUUCGCAUUGUCGAGGCAAGGGGUUCGAAUCCCCUCAGCUCCACCA
Molecule: transfer RNA, 76 nt
Filed under: Chloroflexota bacterium
Lineage: Bacteria; Bacillati; Chloroflexota
Also listed under: 1 other name
Description: Chloroflexi bacterium tRNA-Ala
Rfam family: tRNA
About the family: Transfer RNA (tRNA) molecules are approximately 80 nucleotides in length. Their secondary structure includes four short double-helical elements and three loops (D, anti-codon, and T loops).
Source: RNAcentral